Long non-coding RNA from Spinacia oleracea (spinach), 560 nucleotides. RefSeq lists it as uncharacterized. NCBI's taxonomy places the organism in Eukaryota, Viridiplantae, Streptophyta, Magnoliopsida, Caryophyllales, Amaranthaceae. The record is from RefSeq and is a predicted model, not a curated record. The transcript is spliced from 4 exons.
ACCGCUUAAAACAUUUUCUUACCCACGUUUCUUUACUCUGCAAAAACCAAAAACCUCAAACCUAAGACUCUCCAUAGACGGAAAAACCUACCACAAUCCUUUACGCGACGGCGAUUUACGGUGGUGGCGGCGUUUUUUUUUUUCCUGUGGUGGUUCUUCCGACAGAAUUUCGAAUUCCAUGGUAGCUACUGUCAAGACCUCAAAACUUGGGGUUUCAAGCUUGUAAGUAUAUCAGUAACACAGGUAAUGCGUCUUGCUGACCAGCAAUUUCUGAGUUUACACUGUACUUUUCAGUUUGUCAGUUUUCAAGUUAUGACAAAGAGCAGAUUGACGAAGUAAGAACCGAAUGGGUGCGCCAUGUUGUUCAACAAUUGUAUAAUUGCUCGGUUUUGUUGAAGGAAUUAACAAACAUAAGACUCGAUUGAUUAAUGUAUUUUACGUAGUUUAAUGUUUAGAAUUUUAGUAUAGAUCUAUGUAAUUUGUUUUAUUAGGGUGACAAUUGCAAAAAUUCUUUUAAUUGAGGUUUGAAAAUUAAUUUUCAACUAUUUACUAUUCUUCAA